GGCCAGGUGGCUCAGUUGGUUGGAGCAUUGUCUCAUAAACCCAAAGGUUGCAGGUUCAAUUCCUGGUCAGGGCA
Molecule: transfer RNA, 74 nt
Filed under: Myotis lucifugus (little brown bat)
Lineage: Eukaryota; Metazoa; Chordata; Mammalia; Chiroptera; Vespertilionidae
Rfam family: tRNA
About the family: Transfer RNA (tRNA) molecules are approximately 80 nucleotides in length. Their secondary structure includes four short double-helical elements and three loops (D, anti-codon, and T loops).
Source: Rfam by way of RNAcentral